Molecule: ribosomal RNA, 417 nt
Filed under: uncultured bacterium
Lineage: Bacteria
Description: bacterial SSU rRNA
Rfam family: Bacterial small subunit ribosomal RNA
Source: RNAcentral
UACUAGCUUGCUAGUAUGUCAGCUAAGUGGCGGACGGGUGAGUAAUGUAUAGUUAAUCUGCCCCUUAGAGAGGGAUAGCCACUGGAAACGGUGAUUAAUACCUCAUACUCCUUCUGCCUUAAUGGUAGUUGGGAAAUGUUUUUUCGCUAAGGGAUGAGACUAUAUGAUAUCAGAUAGUUGGUGGGGUAAUGGCCUACCAAGUCAAUGACAUCUAGCUGGUCUGAGAGGAUGAUCAGCCACACUGGAACUGAGACACGGUCCAGACUCCUACGGGAGGCAGCAGUGGGGAAUAUUGCACAAUGGGGGAAACCCUGAUGCANCAACGCCGCGUGGAGGAUGACACAUUUCGGUGCGUAAACUCCUUUUAUAUGGGAAGAUAAUGACGGUACCAUAUGAAUAAGCACCGGCUAACUCCGU